Polypterus senegalus (gray bichir) is the source of this 1199-nucleotide long non-coding RNA. RefSeq lists it as uncharacterized. Lineage: Eukaryota; Metazoa; Chordata; Cladistia; Polypteriformes; Polypteridae. The record is from RefSeq and is a predicted model, not a curated record. The transcript has 3 exons.
GCUGUAGGCUCGUGUGCGACGAGUCCCGAUCCGCCGCCGUACGGAGAGCUCGCUGCGGGUCCAUCAGUCAGCCGCGCUGAGACGGAGCAAGCGAGUGAGCCGCAGCUUUUUUUGGGCUCAGACACCGCACAUCAGCGGGCUGCACGAGCUGCCACAUCUGACCACUGGGUGAUUUUUUUUCGUACACUCAGCACCUGCUGGGACAGAUGAGAGAAUAAAAAGGACAUUUUGUACUCCACGGAUUUUCCCACAUAUUCUGUUCUUUUCCCUUUGCUUCUUCUUAUUGAUUGGGAGCCUCUCUGCAAUCCCCUGCAGCUUAAAUCUUCAAAUACAGUGGAUCGUGUCAUAAAGAAGACAUGGUCAUCUUUGUAGUUUUUUUUUCCUCUUCCUUCUUUUCUGUCUCAUUUUAAAAACUGAAGAAGACGAAUGGAAGAGGAGCAACAUUUAACGUGGAAAGGAUGGGAAUGGGGAACCGAGGAAGGAAUAACCACUCCAACUGGCGAAUCUUCGUUUCGUGAAGGAGACUUCCAGAUUGGACCCAAAUAAAGCAAGUCGAUCACUAGACAGAAGAGAAGAAUGCCGGCUGCCAAAGAAAAGAUCUCUGCGUUGCCCUCCUUCUCCCGCAGCUUAGCACGCGACGAAAUGCACACCGGCGCGUGAGGUGGGAGGCAGCCCCUCGGCAUCUGUCUGGGGGCUCCAAGCUGGGGAGCACCUGCGCUUGUCACCACCCCCACCUCUCAGGGGCUAUUGAAGGAGCCAUAAUUGUGAAGCCUGUUAGCUGCUGAACGACUGCUGUGUUACAACGAACGCACUGAACUCCCCUGCUACAAAACAAAAGGAUGAGAGACGACAGGCCAUUCUCGGCAAAGGGUAAACAAAGCCAUUGGCACUAGAGAAGCGAUCAGGCUGUGUGCUGCUGGAAUCCAAAUGAUUGUCUUUCAAUAUACCGCAGAUCGUUCCAUUUUUGAGAUAUGAAUCCUCCAUCAGCAGGAUCCCUUGGGAGCACUGGAAGGACUUAAACAGUGAGAGUUGGACACACGAGCUGACACUGGACACCAUCACCUGAUCGCUGCACCAUGCCAAGAACCAGGAAAGUGAAAGCAAGACAGUGUGCUGCAUCCCCAUAUCCAGUGGGCACAGUGCCCGUCACUUUCUUGUUUCUUGGGAGUUUGCUUUGAGACUUGAGGUGACAUCUCAGA